RNAcentral lists this ribosomal RNA (1515 nucleotides) under Campylobacter lanienae. RNAcentral's name for it is "bacterial SSU rRNA". It matches the Rfam family "Bacterial small subunit ribosomal RNA". The record is from RNAcentral. Lineage: Bacteria; Pseudomonadati; Campylobacterota; Epsilonproteobacteria; Campylobacterales; Campylobacteraceae.
UUUAUGGAGAGUUUGAUCCUGGCUCAGAGUGAACGCUGGCGGCGUGCCUAAUACAUGCAAGUCGAACGGACAAGUAAGAGCUUGCUCUUAUGAGUUAGUGGCGCACGGGUGAGUAAUGUAUAGUUAAUCUGCCCUAUGCUGGAGGACAACAGUUAGAAAUGACUGCUAAUACUCCAUACUCCUUCUUAACACAAGUUAAGUUGGGAAAGUUUUUUCGGCAUAGGAUGAGACUAUAUUGUAUCAGCUAGUUGGUGAGGUAAUGGCUCACCAAGGCUAUGACGCAUAACUGGUCUGAGAGGAUGAUCAGUCACACUGGAACUGAGACACGGUCCAGACUCCUACGGGAGGCAGCAGUAGGGAAUAUUGCUCAAUGGGCGAAAGCCUGAAGCAGCAACGCCGCGUGGAGGAUGACACUUUUCGGAGCGUAAACUCCUUUUCUUAGGGAAGAAAUUUGACGGUACCUAAGGAAUAAGCACCGGCUAACUCCGUGCCAGCAGCCGCGGUAAUACGGAGGGUGCAAGCGUUACUCGGAAUCACUGGGCGUAAAGGACGCGUAGGCGGAUUAUCAAGUCUUUUGUGAAAUCUAAUGGCUCAACCAUUAAACUGCUUGAGAAACUGAUAAUCUAGAGUGAGGGAGAGGCAGAUGGAAUUGGUGGUGUAGGGGUAAAAUCCGUAGAGAUCACCAGGAAUACCCAUUGCGAAGGCGAUCUGCUAGAACUCAACUGACGCUAAUGCGUGAAAGCGUGGGGAGCAAACAGGAUUAGAUACCCUGGUAGUCCACGCCCUAAACGAUGUAUACUAGUUGUUGCUGUGCUAGUCAUGGCAGUAAUGCACCUAACGGAUUAAGUAUACCGCCUGGGGAGUACGGUCGCAAGAUUAAAACUCAAAGGAAUAGACGGGGACCCGCACAAGCGGUGGAGCAUGUGGUUUAAUUCGAAGAUACGCGAAGAACCUUACCUGGGCUUGAUAUCCUAAGAACCUUGUAGAGAUACGAGGGUGCUAGCUUGCUAGAACUUAGUGACAGGUGCUGCACGGCUGUCGUCAGCUCGUGUCGUGAGAUGUUCGGUUAAGUCCGGCAACGAGCGCAACCCACGUAUUUAGUUGCUAACAGUUUGGCUGAGCACUCUAAAUAUACUGCCUUCGUAAGGAGGAGGAAGGUGUGGACGACGUCAAGUCAUCAUGGCCCUUAUGCCCAGGGCGACACACGUGCUACAAUGGCAUAUACAAUGAGACGCAAUAUCGCGAGAUGGAGCAAAUCUAUAAAAUAUGUCCCAGUUCGGAUUGUUCUCUGCAACUCGAGAGCAUGAAGCCGGAAUCGCUAGUAAUCGUAGAUCAGCCAUGCUACGGUGAAUACGUUCCCGGGUCUUGUACUCACCGCCCGUCACACCAUGGGAGUUGAUUUCACUCGAAGUCGGAAUGCUAAACUAGCUACCGCCCACAGUGGAAUCAGCGACUGGGGUGAAGUCGUAACAAGGUAACCGUAGGAGAACCUGCGGUUGGAUCACCUCCUUUCUA